Molecule: ribosomal RNA, 484 nt
Filed under: uncultured bacterium
Lineage: Bacteria
Description: partial 16S ribosomal RNA
Rfam family: Bacterial small subunit ribosomal RNA
Source: RNAcentral
AUUGAACGCUGGCGGCAGGUCUAACACAUGCAAGUCGAGCGGAUGAAGGGAGCUUGCUCCUGGAUUCAGCGGCGGACGGGUGAGUAAUGCCUAGGAAUCUGCCUGGUGGUGGGGGAUAACGUCCGGAAACGGGCGCUAAUACCGCAUACGUCCUGAGGGAGAAAGUGGGGGAUCUUCGGACCUCACGCUAUCAGAUGAGCCUAGGUCGGAUUAGCUAGUUGGUGGGGUAAAGGCCUACCAAGGCGACGAUCCGUAACUGGUCUGAGAGGAUGAUCAGUCACACUGGAACUGAGACACGGUCCAGACUCCUACGGGAGGCAGCAGUGGGGAAUAUUGGACAAUGGGCGAAAGCCUGAUCCAGCCAUGCCGCGUGUGUGAAGAAGGUCUUCGGAUUGUAAAGCACUUUAAGUUGGGAGGAAGGGCAGUAAGUUAAUACCUUGCUGUUUUGACGUUACCAACAGAAUAAGCACCGGCUAACUUCGUG